GCGCCGAUAGUCUAAUGGCUAUGAUCCCGGCCUUCCAAGCCGGUGGUCCGGGUUCGAAUCCCGGUCGGCGCA
RNAcentral lists this transfer RNA (72 nucleotides) under Candidatus Woesearchaeota archaeon ex4484_78. RNAcentral describes it as "tRNA-Gly". It matches the Rfam family "tRNA". Rfam says of the family: Transfer RNA (tRNA) molecules are approximately 80 nucleotides in length. The record is from RNAcentral. Lineage: Archaea; Nanobdellati; Candidatus Woesearchaeota.